AUUGAACGCUGGCGGCAGGCCUAACACAUGCAAGUCGAACGGUAGCACAGAGAGCUUGCUCUCGGGUGACGAGUGGCGGACGGGUGAGUAACGUCUGGGAAACUGCCCGAUGGAGGGGGAUAACUACUGGAAACGGUAGCUAAUACCGCAUAACGUCGCAAGACCAAAGUGGGGGACCUUCGGGCCUCACACCAUCGGAUGUGCCCAGAUGGGAUUAGCUAGUAGGUGGGGUAAUGGCUCACCUAGGCGACGAUCCCUAGCUGGUCUGAGAGGAUAACCAGCCACACUGGAACUGAGACACGGUCCAGACUCCUACGGGAGGCAGCAGUGGGGAAUAUUGGACACUGGGCGAAAGCCUGAUGCAGCCAUGCCGCGUGUAUGAAGAAGGCCUUCGGGUUGUAAAGUACUUUCAGCGGGGAGGAAGGCGGUGAGGUUAAUAACUUCACCGAUUGACGUUACCCGCAGAAGAAGCACCGGCUAACUCCGUGCCAGCCGCCGCCGUAA
Molecule: ribosomal RNA, 504 nt
Filed under: uncultured bacterium
Lineage: Bacteria
Description: partial 16S ribosomal RNA
Rfam family: Bacterial small subunit ribosomal RNA
Source: RNAcentral